UUAAGCGACUAAGCGUACACGGUGGAUGCCCUGGCAGUCAGAGGCGAUGAAGGACGUGCUAAUCUGCGAUAAGCGUCGGUAAGGUGAUAUGAACCGUUAUAACCGGCGAUUUCCGAAUGGGGAAACCCAGUGUGUUUCGACACACUAUCAUUAACUGAAUCCAUAGGUUAAUGAGGCGAACCGGGGGAACUGAAACAUCUAAGUACCCCGAGGAAAAGAAAUCAACCGAGAUUCCCCCAGUAGCGGCGAGCGAACGGGGAGCAGCCCAGAGUCUGAAUCAGUGUGUGUGUUAGUGGAAGCGUCUGGAAAGGCGCGCGAUACAGGGUGACAGCCCCGUACACAAAAAUGCACAUACUGUGAGCUCGAUGAGUAGGGCGGGACACGUGGUAUCCUGUCUGAAUAUGGGGGGACCAUCCUCCAAGGCUAAAUACUCCUGACUGACCGAUAGUGAACCAGUACCGUGAGGGAAAGGCGAAAAGAACCCCGGCGAGGGGAGUGAAAAAGAACCUGAAACCGUGUACGUACAAGCAGUGGGAGCCUCUUUUAUGGGGUGACUGCGUACCUUUUGUAUAAUGGGUCAGCGACUUAUAUUCUGUAGCAAGGUUAACCGAAUAGGGGAGCCGAAGGGAAACCGAGUCUUAACUGGGCGUUAAGUUGCAGGGUAUAGACCCGAAACCCGGUGAUCUAGCCAUGGGCAGGUUGAAGGUUGGGUAACACUAACUGGAGGACCGAACCGACUAAUGUUGAAAAAUUAGCGGAUGACUUGUGGCUGGGGGUGAAAGGCCAAUCAAACCGGGAGAUAGCUGGUUCUCCCCGAAAGCUAUUUAGGUAGCGCCUCGUGAAUUCAUCUCCGGGGGUAGAGCACUGUUUCGGCAAGGGGGUCAUCCCGACUUACCAACCCGAUGCAAACUGCGAAUACCGGAGAAUGUUAUCACGGGAGACACACGGCGGGUGCUAACGUCCGUCGUGAAGAGGGAAACAACCCAGACCGCCAGCUAAGGUCCCAAAGUCAUGGUUAAGUGGGAAACGAUGUGGGAAGGCCCAGACAGCCAGGAUGUUGGCUUAGAAGCAGCCAUCAUUUAAAGAAAGCGUAAUAGCUCACUGGUCGAGUCGGCCUGCGCGGAAGAUGUAACGGGGCUAAACCAUGCACCGAAGCUGCGGCAGCGACGCUUAUGCGUUGUUGGGUAGGGGAGCGUUCUGUAAGCCUGUGAAGGUGUGCUGUGAGGCAUGCUGGAGGUAUCAGAAGUGCGAAUGCUGACAUAAGUAACGAUAAAGCGGGUGAAAAGCCCGCUCGCCGGAAGACCAAGGGUUCCUGUCCAACGUUAAUCGGGGCAGGGUGAGUCGACCCCUAAGGCGAGGCCGAAAGGCGUAGUCGAUGGGAAACAGGUUAAUAUUCCUGUACUUGGUGUUACUGCGAAGGGGGGACGGAGAAGGCUAUGUUGGCCGGGCGACGGUUGUCCCGGUUUAAGCGUGUAGGCUGGUUUUCCAGGCAAAUCCGGAAAAUCAAGGCUGAGGCGUGAUGACGAGGCACUACGGUGCUGAAGCAACAAAUGCCCUGCUUCCAGGAAAAGCCUCUAAGCAUCAGGUAACAUCAAAUCGUACCCCAAACCGACACAGGUGGUCAGGUAGAGAAUACCAAGGCGCUUGAGAGAACUCGGGUGAAGGAACUAGGCAAAAUGGUGCCGUAACUUCGGGAGAAGGCACGCUGAUAUGUAGGUGAAGUCCCUUGCGGAUGGAGCUGAAAUCAGUCGAAGAUACCAGCUGGCUGCAACUGUUUAUUAAAAACACAGCACUGUGCAAACACGAAAGUGGACGUAUACGGUGUGACGCCUGCCCGGUGCCGGAAGGUUAAUUGAUGGGGUUAGCGCAAGCGAAGCUCUUGAUCGAAGCCCCGGUAAACGGCGGCCGUAACUAUAACGGUCCUAAGGUAGCGAAAUUCCUUGUCGGGUAAGUUCCGACCUGCACGAAUGGCGUAAUGAUGGCCAGGCUGUCUCCACCCGAGACUCAGUGAAAUUGAACUCGCUGUGAAGAUGCAGUGUACCCGCGGCAAGACGGAAAGACCCCGUGAACCUUUACUAUAGCUUGACACUGAACAUUGAGCCUUGAUGUGUAGGAUAGGUGGGAGGCUUUGAAGUGUGGACGCCAGUCUGCAUGGAGCCGACCUUGAAAUACCACCCUUUAAUGUUUGAUGUUCUAACGUUGACCCGUAAUCCGGGUUGCGGACAGUGUCUGGUGGGUAGUUUGACUGGGGCGGUCUCCUCCUAAAGAGUAACGGAGGAGCACGAAGGUUGGCUAAUCCUGGUCGGACAUCAGGAGGUUAGUGCAAUGGCAUAAGCCAGCUUGACUGCGAGCGUGACGGCGCGAGCAGGUGCGAAAGCAGGUCAUAGUGAUCCGGUGGUUCUGAAUGGAAGGGCCAUCGCUCAACGGAUAAAAGGUACUCCGGGGAUAACAGGCUGAUACCGCCCAAGAGUUCAUAUCGACGGCGGUGUUUGGCACCUCGAUGUCGGCUCAUCACAUCCUGGGGCUGAAGUAGGUCCCAAGGGUAUGGCUGUUCGCCAUUUAAAGUGGUACGCGAGCUGGGUUUAGAACGUCGUGAGACAGUUCGGUCCCUAUCUGCCGUGGGCGCUGGAGAACUGAGGGGGGCUGCUCCUAGUACGAGAGGACCGGAGUGGACGCAUCACUGGUGUUCGGGUUGUCAUGCCAAUGGCACUGCCCGGUAGCUAAAUGCGGAAGAGAUAAGUGCUGAAAGCAUCUAAGCACGAAACUUGCCCCGAGAUGAGUUCUCCCUGACCCUUUAAGGGUCCUGAAGGAACGUUGAAGACGACGACGUUGAUAGGCCGGGUGUGUAAGCGCAGCGAUGCGUUGAGCUAACCGGUACUAAUGAACCGUGAGGCUUAACCUU
RNAcentral lists this ribosomal RNA (2902 nucleotides) under Escherichia coli. RNAcentral describes it as "bacterial LSU rRNA". It matches the Rfam family "Bacterial large subunit ribosomal RNA". Lineage: Bacteria; Pseudomonadati; Pseudomonadota; Gammaproteobacteria; Enterobacterales; Enterobacteriaceae. The record is from RNAcentral.